GACGAACGCUGGCGGCGUGCUUAACACAUGCAAGUCGAACGGAAAGGCCCUGCUUUUGUGGGGUGCUCGAGUGGCGAACGGGUGAGUAACACGUGAGUAACCUGCCCCUGACUUUGGGAUAACUUCAGGAAACUGGGGCUAAUACCGGAUAGGAGCUCCUGCUGCAUGGUGGGGGUUGGAAAGUUUCGGCGGUUGGGGAUGGACUCGCGGCUUAUCAGCUUGUUGGUGUGGUAGUGGCUUACCAAGGCUUUGACGGGUAGCCGGCCUGAGAGGGUGACCGGCCACAUUGGGACUGAGAUACGGCCCAGACUCCUACGGGAGGCAGCAGUGGGGAAUAUUGCACAAUGGGCGGAAGCCUGAUGCAGCAACGCCGCGUGCGGGAUGACGGCCUUCGGGUUGUAAACCGCUUUCGCCUGUGACGAAGCGUGAGUGACGGUAAUGGGUAAAGAAGCACCGGCUAACUACGUG
This 468-nucleotide ribosomal RNA is filed under the name uncultured bacterium. Its description in RNAcentral is "partial 16S ribosomal RNA". It matches the Rfam family "Bacterial small subunit ribosomal RNA", at positions 28 to 507 of the family's 1533-position model. The record is from RNAcentral.